Molecule: ribosomal RNA, 251 nt
Filed under: uncultured prokaryote
Description: partial 16S rRNA
Rfam family: Bacterial small subunit ribosomal RNA
Source: RNAcentral
ACGUAGGGGGCAAGCGUUGUCCGGAAUGAUUGGGCGUAAAGGGCGCGUAGGCGGCCUGGUAAGUCUGGAGUGAAAGUCCUGCUUUUAAGGUGGGAAUUGCUUUGGAUACUGUCGGGCUUGAGUGCAGGAGAGGUAAGUGGAAUUCCCGGUGUAGGGGUGAAAUGCGUAGAGAUCGGGGGGAACCCCAGUGGCGAAGGCGACUUACAGGACUGUAUCCGAUGCUGAGGAGCGAAAGUGUGGGGAGCAAACAG